Molecule: ribosomal RNA, 100 nt
Filed under: Cyanobacteria bacterium QS_8_64_29
Lineage: Bacteria; Bacillati; Cyanobacteriota
Description: partial 16S ribosomal RNA
Rfam family: Bacterial small subunit ribosomal RNA
Source: RNAcentral
CACGGAGAGUUUGAUCCUGGCUCAGGAUGAACGCUGGCGGUGAGCUUAACACAUGCGAGUCGAACGGGGGCCGCUCCUUCGGGGGCGGUACCUAAGUGGC